This 403-nucleotide ribosomal RNA is filed under the name bacterium. RNAcentral describes it as "partial 16S ribosomal RNA". It matches the Rfam family "Bacterial small subunit ribosomal RNA", at positions 355 to 776 of the family's 1533-position model. The record is from RNAcentral.
UGGGGAAUAUUGCACAAUGGGGGAAACCCUGAUGCAGCGACGCCGCGUGAACGAAGAAGGUAUUCGUAUCGUAAAGUUCUGUCCUAUGGGAAGAUAAUGACAGUACCAUAGAAGAAAGCUCCGGCUAAAUACGUGCCAGCAGCCGCGGUAAUACGUAUGGAGCGAGCGUUGUUCGGAAUUAUUGGGCGUAAAGGGUACGCAGGCGGUUUAAUAAGUCGAAUGUUAAAGAUCGGGGCUCAACCCCGCAAAGCAUUGGAAACUGAUAAACUUGAGUAGUGGAGAGGAAAGUGGAAUUCCUAGUGUAGUGGUGAAAUACGUAGAUAUUAGGAGGAGUACCAGUAGCGAAGGCGACUUUCUGGACACAAACUGACGCUGAGGUACGAAAGCGUGGGGAGCAAACAGG